AUACGGAGGGUGCAAGCGUUAAUCGGAAUUACUGGGCGUAAAGCGCGCGUAGGCGGUUUGAUAAGUCGGAUGUGAAAUCCCCGGGCUCAACCUGGGAAUUGCAUUCGAUACUGUCAGGCUAGAGUGUGGUAGAGGGAAGUGGAAUUUCCGGUGUAGCGGUGAAAUGCGUAGAUAUCCGAAGGAACACCAGUGGCGAAGGCGGCUUCCUGGACCAACACUGACGCUGAGGUGCGAAAGCGUGGGGAGCAAACAGGAUUAGAUACCCUAGUAGUCC
This 274-nucleotide ribosomal RNA is filed under the name uncultured bacterium. RNAcentral describes it as "partial 16S ribosomal RNA". It matches the Rfam family "Bacterial small subunit ribosomal RNA", at positions 523 to 796 of the family's 1533-position model. The record is from RNAcentral.